UCAAAUUGUAUAUCAAAUUGUUUACUAUCAAAAGAUUUGCUGAUGUGUUUUCCAUAUUUUUAAGCAUAUUAGUUCUCGAAAUAUACAUGACGUGUGCUCUGGUACAUUUCUUCAGCUGACAGCCACAAAAUCUAACUGAAGCUCCUCUAAUCUUACUUCACCCUGCUGUCUGUAGGUCAGAAUGCUAUUGUGGGUACAAUCGACCGCCUCAAAUCGCUAAACGGCCCGAAUCCGAAUGCUCGAAACCCUGCAGUGGGGAUGCUAAGGAACAAUGUGGUGGCAAUUACAGAAUGAAUGUUUACACUACAGCUGUGUCAGGACUGGGAGCUCUGCCUAGCGGCUUUUACCAGGGGUGCUUCAAGGAAAACGCGGGAUUAUCAACAAUAUUUAAUUUAUCGGAGAGACUUCUGCCCGGGUUUCGCCAAGACUUCAACGGGUUGACGCCGAAAAUGUGUUUCGAGUUUUGUUUUAAAAAGGGGUUCAAGUUAUCGGGACUUCAGUGGGGGUGAGGUUCUUUCAUAUUAUCAAUAGAUUAACAUUGUGUUUUAAAAUGAAUCUCAUCCACCUCGAUACUUUGAAAUGAGCAAUAGAAGAGAUAUACAUCGCCGCAAUGGACCACAACUAGACAAGGUACAAAUUUAAGCACUCUGAUACAUGUUUUUUAACCAGAAUUUCAUGUGAUUCACAAUUUCACGAUGCUUGCAUCAAAAAUUACUGAAAUCAACUCCUAUACGUAAUAACUCCUCCGUAACUAAGACAAUAACGUUUUACUUUUACAUUGGUUACAGGAAAUUUGAAUUGCCCGGUCACAAGAAACUCAAAACUCUACGUGAGUCAAAUCGCGCCGCCUUAUAAUAGUUUUGACAGGCUUCUCAUUUGAGCAUCGUUCUUUCACCAACCUUCAUCGUUCAAAGUGUAAACAAUUUACUAUAGCUGAGCCGAAGCGUCAAGAUUGAGUUCGAUGGAUUUUCAUCGUAGAGAUUGUCAUGGUAAAGUUUAGUGUACGAUAUGGCUCACAUGGACUAUUGUGUUUUCAUGAGCAGGAGGUUUGAAUUCACGCGUCAAGAAACAUUUAAUAGCUUGGUUAGGAGUUUUCAGUAAAAUCAGUAAUUUUUGUUGCGCGAAUAUUGUUUUACGUGAAAAUUUGGGUAAGAAACAUGUAUCAAAAUGCUUAAUUUUGUGCCUCGUCUAGUGGUCCUGGUCCACUGGUCCAUUGGAGAUACGCAACCAAGUAGCACAGUACAAUGAACAUAUUGAAAUAAAAUUGCGAAUUUUUUUUUUUUUAAUUGAUGAUGAGGGGAAAAAUUCGCUAUACUUCCCCCAUCAUGAGGGUCGUCAAAACGCCCCUAUCCCCCGGGACUGAUCUGCCCAAGCCAUCAUUGUACCCGGAGUCAAGGGGGCGUAGGAGGAGAGCCUAGGCCCAGCUUGCGCCAAACCUUGCGACAACCCCACGGCAGGGCUCUGGAGCCGCGCGAGGACUGGAGGGCAGGGAGGGCAGACCAGCUACGUCUCGCUUAACCCUCGAGGCACCUGAUCUUAUGCGGCCCAGAAGGGGGCAGCCUAUACAUGACUCAGCUCCGCGGGUGCGUCGAACCCGAUAUCCCCAAUUAGAUAGCCUGCGGUAAAAUAAUUGCGAUUUAGUGCAGUAAAAUAGCAAUACUUUUACAUAAUUUGGUCCAUUAAUGCGGAUUUUAAAUAAUAAACAAUUAAGUGUCGUGUGUUAGAUGGAUAGGCAAUAUGCUGUGCCACGAAAAAUUGCAACCUGUUUCAAUUUUUGCAGUGUCCCUUCAAUCGAUAGAUACGCAACAUACACUACACAACAAUGCUGUAGCAAUGUAAUCUGUGCUUCUUGGGCAUUUUCCGACACCUAAAAAAAAACUCCGGCUGUGGGCGCUGUACCACCGUCCAUGUCAUGGGCUCAGAAGCCGAAAGUUCCGGAUGUAGCACCCGGGGCAGUUGAAACCACGAGCGCCACGGCUCUGGCAGCCAGAGCUGUCGGCCCGCUGGGCCCGGAACGGAAGGUGUGUCUAUGCAGUCCGUAACUUUCUUUCAGUGGACCCUACGGUCAUCAAUAUACGUAUUUUAUGCUGGCUAUACACUUGUACAGGCACCAUUGAUAACCUAUCGAUAUGAUUUUCACUAAGGGAUGAAAUCCUUCAAAAAUUGUUUCAUUCAUUUUUACACGGAGAAAGAAACUUCGUACAUGGGACCCGAAGUUGAGGUCAUAUGGAUCUCUGAAGUUUUUGGAUCUCGCAUCCGAAAACUUAAGAGAUCCAUAUGACCUCAACUUCGGAACCCAUGCACGAAGUUUUUUUCUCCGUGUAAUUUAGCCAUCUCUAGGUAUUCGUACUUUCUCCAAUUUAGCCAUCUCUAGGUACUCGUACUUUCUCCCUCAGAAAACGUGACUUUUUCAUGAUGAAAUGACUAACUUCAUGAUUGUUUGAUCUGCGUCCAAGGAAAGAAUGUUACUGUUCAA
RNAcentral lists this long non-coding RNA (2476 nucleotides) under Bemisia tabaci. RNAcentral describes it as "lncRNA ENSSSA1UGG009013". Lineage: Eukaryota; Metazoa; Arthropoda; Insecta; Hemiptera; Aleyrodidae. The record is from RNAcentral.